UGCCUUGUUCUAAAGGAAAGACAAAGAAUUAAAAGUUAAAAGUUUCUUCAGUUUGCUGAGAGGGAUGUCUGAUCACUCAGCCUCAUAUAUCUGUUAUUUUUGGUUCCACAGACUCGGAAACUGUACGGCUGCCUUAUGAAGAGUCUGAAUUCUUGGAUUACCUUGAUGCACAAGAGCUUCCUCCUAUCCUGGUUGAUCUGUUGGAAAAAUCACAGGUAUUGUUC
Long non-coding RNA from Orbicella faveolata, 224 nucleotides. The record is from RefSeq and is a predicted model, not a curated record. Lineage: Eukaryota; Metazoa; Cnidaria; Anthozoa; Scleractinia; Merulinidae.